AAAACGACUCUCGGCAACGGAUAUCUCGGCUCUCGCAUCGAUGAAGAACGUAGCGAAAUGCGAUACUUGGUGUGAAUUGCAGAAUCCCGUGAACCAUCGAGUCUUUGAUCGCAAGUUGCGCCCGAAGCCUUUAGGCCGAGGGCACGCCUGCCUGGGCGUCACA
RNAcentral lists this ribosomal RNA (163 nucleotides) under Pyrus neoserrulata. RNAcentral's name for it is "Pyrus serrulata 5.8S ribosomal RNA". It matches the Rfam family "5.8S ribosomal RNA". From Rfam's summary of the family: 5.8S ribosomal RNA (5.8S rRNA) is a component of the large subunit of the eukaryotic ribosome. Lineage: Eukaryota; Viridiplantae; Streptophyta; Magnoliopsida; Rosales; Rosaceae. The record is from RNAcentral.